UACGAGGGGGGCAAGCGUUGUUCGGAAUUAUUGGGCGUAAAGGGCGCGUAGGCGGUGCGGUAAGUCACCUGUGAAAACUCUGGGCUCAACUCAGAGCCUGCAGGCGAAACUGCCGUGCUUGAGUGUGGGAGAGGUGCGUGGAAUUCCCGGUAUAGCGGUGAAAUGCGUAGAUAUCGGGAGGAACACCUGUGGCGAAAGCGGCGCACUGGACCACAACUGACGCUGAGGCGCGAAAGCUAGGGGAGCAAACAGG
RNAcentral lists this ribosomal RNA (253 nucleotides) under uncultured bacterium. RNAcentral describes it as "partial 16S ribosomal RNA". It matches the Rfam family "Bacterial small subunit ribosomal RNA", at positions 524 to 776 of the family's 1533-position model. The record is from RNAcentral.